This 1246-nucleotide ribosomal RNA is filed under the name bioreactor metagenome. Its description in RNAcentral is "bacterial LSU rRNA". It matches the Rfam family "Bacterial large subunit ribosomal RNA", at positions 1700 to 2925 of the family's 2925-position model. The record is from RNAcentral.
UCUGCUGAAGGAACUAGGCAAAAUGGUACCGUAACUUCGGGAGAAGGUACGCUGCCGGCGGUGAUAGGAUUUACUCCUUGAGCUAUUGGCAGCCACAGAAACCAGGCCCCUGCAACUGUUUAUUAAAAACAUAGCACUCUGCAAACACGAAAGUGGACGUAUAGGGUGUGAUGCCUGCCCGGUGCUGGAAGGUUAAUUGAUGGGGUUAGCGUAAGCGAAGCUCUUGAUCGAAGCCCCAGUAAACGGCGGCCGUAACUAUAACGGUCCUAAGGUAGCGAAAUUCCUUGUCGGGUAAGUUCCGACCUGCACGAAUGGCAUAAUGAUGGGGGCGCUGUCUCCAGCAGAGGCUCAGUGAAAUCGAAUUCGCCGUGAAGAUGCGGUGUACCCGCGGCUAGACGGAAAGACCCCGUGAACCUUUACUGCAGCUUGACAUUGAACUUUGAUCUUACUUGUGUAGGAUAGGUGGGAGGCUUUGAAGUGGUGACGCUAGUUGCCAUGGAGCCGUCCUUGAAAUACCACCCUGGUAAUAUUGAGGUUCUAACUCUGCUCCCUGAUCGGGAGCGAGGACCAUGUCUGGUGGGUAGUUUGACUGGGGCGGUCUCCUCCUAAAGAGUAACGGAGGAGUACGAAGGUGCGCUCAGACCGGUCGGAAAUCGGUCGUAGAGUAUAAAGGCAAAAGCGCGCUUGACUGCGAGACAGACAAGUCGAGCAGGUACGAAAGUAGGUCUUAGUGAUCCGGUGGUUCUGUAUGGAAGGGCCAUCGCUCAACGGAUAAAAGGUACUCCGGGGAUAACAGGCUGAUACCGCCCAAGAGUUCAUAUCGACGGCGGUGUUUGGCACCUCGAUGUCGGCUCAUCUCAUCCUGGGGCUGAAGCAGGUCCCAAGGGUAUGGCUGUUCGCCAUUUAAAGAGGUACGCGAGCUGGGUUUAGAACGUCGUGAGACAGUUCGGUCCCUAUCUACCGUGGGCGCUGGAAAUUUGAGAGGAUCUGCUCCUAGUACGAGAGGACCAGAGUGGACGAACCUCUGGUGUACCGGUUGUGACGCCAGUCGCAUCGCCGGGUAGCUAUGUUCGGAAGGGAUAACCGCUGAAAGCAUCUAAGCGGGAAGCCUACCUCAAGAUAAGAUUUCCCCGAGACUUUAUGUCUCCUAAAGAGCCGUUGAAGACUACGACGUUGAUAGGUUGGAUGUGGAAGCAUAGUGAUAUGUGAAGCUGACCAAUACUAAUUGCUCGUGAGGCUUGACUAU